UCGACGAAACAGGGGUGCUUCGCACACUGCCGGCGUGAUUCCGAUCCGCGGCGGCGAGGCUGAGAGAGACCCUUUGCACCCGAUCCGGGUAAUACCGGCGCGGGAAGUUUCCGGAAGCAACCG
This 123-nucleotide non-coding RNA is filed under the name Burkholderia sp. RNAcentral describes it as "TPP sequence". It matches the Rfam family "TPP riboswitch aptamer (THI element)". From Rfam's summary of the family: Vitamin B(1) in its active form thiamin pyrophosphate (TPP) is an essential coenzyme that is synthesised by coupling of pyrimidine and thiazole moieties in bacteria. The previously detected thiamin-regulatory element, thi box was extended, resulting in a new, highly conserved RNA secondary structure, the THI element, which is widely distributed in eubacteria and also occurs in some archaea. The record is from RNAcentral. RNAcentral also lists the same sequence under 1 other name. Lineage: Bacteria; Pseudomonadati; Pseudomonadota; Betaproteobacteria; Burkholderiales; Burkholderiaceae.